UUUUCAUUUUCGAGUGGCGUGACCGGCGUUUGGACUUGCUGGACGGGUUGAAAUUCAACCCGUUAGCGGGAAACUUCACCGGUCCAUUACAUUUCCAUAUAGAAGCAGGAGUCCUGUAUAUCGACGUCAUAGGAGCUUGAGCAGGGAUUGUGAGAUUCAAACUAAUGGCGUGGGUUCUAAAACAAAUCGUGAUGAUUAUCCAUCUCAAAGGAUUCGUGGGAGAAGGUCACCAGUUCGGCAUACCCCUGAGAGGGAGGAGGUCAAAUUUCCUGAUCAGAAGCACAAGGCAUUGUAUCCUGUGUGACGUAGACCACAAGAUUCUUUGAGGUCACCACAGCAGGAACUAAGAAAGCAAAGUGGUGGUCAUCACUAGGUACCUGUUCGGUUGCAUUCACCAUAAAAAUCUCCAAGUAGGUCGGAGUCCGCACCACCUUUGAGGAAAGUGAUUUCUGGGGAUGGCAAGAGUCCACAGAGAGUCCUCUACGGGGAACACGAGAACAGAGAAAUUGUGCUGAAAGUGCAAGUCCUGUGAGGCAGAUAAGAGAUCACGGUGCUCGUCUCCGUGGUAGUCCAGAAACUAGUGGGGACGAAAAUGUUAUUCGUGCCAGGAGGCAUGCACGUCUUUCUCCUCGAAAGAGAACCAGUCUAGUUACCUAUGGGGUACCCUGUUUUACAACCACCACCAAUGUCAGUGGCAGGUCAGUCACAUCUCCAUGCCAUGAAUUCUGGUCUUUCUAGAUGUCAAGUGGUAAAUGGAGUCUCUGCAACUAGAAAUCUUCACCCUGUUCGAGUAAUCUCGGGAAAUGAGUAAGAACUUAGUCACUUAUUCUCUCAUGUAUUAUCUGUUACAUGUACUUUUUUUUAACUUCGGUUCUAGAUUUCGUAUUUGUAAACUAAGAUUCA
Molecule: long non-coding RNA, 903 nt
Organism: Papaver somniferum (opium poppy)
Lineage: Eukaryota; Viridiplantae; Streptophyta; Magnoliopsida; Ranunculales; Papaveraceae
Exons: 5
Source: RefSeq, a predicted model, not a curated record